This 590-nucleotide small RNA is filed under the name Histoplasma capsulatum var. duboisii H88. Its description in RNAcentral is "Histoplasma capsulatum H88 hypothetical RNA". Lineage: Eukaryota; Fungi; Ascomycota; Eurotiomycetes; Onygenales; Ajellomycetaceae. The record is from RNAcentral.
UGCUGGAGACUAUCGUUGAGUAGAAAGAUGAAACCUCUGAGUUCAUUUUUCAUUGUAGAGAAUACAUAAACGAGCUGACACUCUCUUUGUGUUCUGAGACUGUAUAUUUGAUGUUUUGUGAGGCCUGCGAGUUGUUUUCAGCACGUUGAUAUAUUCUUGACUAGUGUGUUGAUUUUUUCGCGGGUCGGGUUGAAAGACUGGUGGGGGUUCCCCGAAUGAACGGGUUCCCGGGUUCACUUAAUUCAACCCGCAAACCCGACCCGGGUUUUUGGGGGCGCUUAUCGGCGUAUAUAACGGGUGUCGCGCCUAAACUACUUAACUAGGUUUAGUUAAGCCUCUAUAAGCCUGGGCGUGGGUCCCCUAAGCGCGGACAUGUUUUUUUCACAGGUUGGGUCGGGUCGGGUUCCAGGGUGACAUGCCCGCAAUAACGGGCUUUUUCAUGGGCCGGGUUCACAACCUUAUUGUUGACGGAGUAUUGUAUCCUUGAAGAUAGAUUCUUGUUUCCAUUACUGUUUCAGUUGUAUCUGUUUCUUCUAGUCUAUGUCUCAUUAUAUGUAUCUGACUCUCCAAUUCUGUAAACUCUUGCCAAA